Molecule: signal recognition particle RNA, 211 nt
Filed under: Desulfurococcaceae archaeon
Lineage: Archaea; Thermoproteati; Thermoproteota; Thermoprotei; Desulfurococcales; Desulfurococcaceae
Description: signal recognition particle sRNA
Rfam family: Archaeal signal recognition particle RNA
Source: RNAcentral
GUGGGAGGCCUCAGUAACUACCCUGAGGUUUGCGAUGAAGCCCGCCCCGUGGGGUCGGCGGUGACGGAGCGUUCCCUGGAGGGGGAACGCCAACCGUCUUUGCAGGGGGAAUCGGCCAGGCCCGGAAGGGAGCAACCUAACUCCUGACGCCGACGUUCACGGGUCACCGGGUGGAGGACGGCCUCAGGUGCUGGUUGCUGAGGUCCCCCAC